GCCCCGAUGGUGAAAUAGGUAGACACAGCGGACUUAAAAUCCGCGGCCUCUGACCGGGCGUACCGGUUCGACUCCGGUUCGGGGCACCA
RNAcentral lists this transfer RNA (89 nucleotides) under Ramlibacter rhizophilus. RNAcentral's name for it is "tRNA-Leu". It matches the Rfam family "tRNA". Rfam says of the family: Transfer RNA (tRNA) molecules are approximately 80 nucleotides in length. Their secondary structure includes four short double-helical elements and three loops (D, anti-codon, and T loops). The record is from RNAcentral. Lineage: Bacteria; Pseudomonadati; Pseudomonadota; Betaproteobacteria; Burkholderiales; Comamonadaceae.